Molecule: ribosomal RNA, 498 nt
Filed under: uncultured bacterium
Lineage: Bacteria
Description: partial 16S ribosomal RNA
Rfam family: Bacterial small subunit ribosomal RNA
Source: RNAcentral
GACGAACGCUGGCGGCGUGCCUAAUACAUGCAAGUCGAGCGGACGGAUGGGAGCUUGCUCCCAGACCGUCAGCGGCGGACGGGUUAGUAACACGUGGGCAACCUGCCUGUAAGACUGGGAUAACUCCGGGAAACCGGGGCUAAUACCGGAUAACUCUUUCCCUCACAUGAGGGAAAGCUGAAAGAUGGCAUCUCGCUAUCACUUACAGAUGGGCCCGCGGCGCAUUAGCUAGUUGGUGAGGUAACGGCUCACCAAGGCGACGAUGCGUAGCCGACCUGAGAGGGUGAUCGGCCACACUGGGACUGAGACACGGCCCAGACUCCUACGGGAGGCAGCAGUAGGGAAUCUUCCGCAAUGGACGAAAGUCUGACGGAGCAACGCCGCGUGAGUGAUGAAGGUUUUCGGAUCGUAAAACUCUGUUGUCAGGGAAGAACAAGUACCGGAGUAACUGCCGGUACCUUGACGGUACCUGACCAGAAAGCCACGGCUAACUACGUG